This 574-nucleotide unclassified non-coding RNA is filed under the name Hevea brasiliensis (rubber tree). The record is from RNAcentral. Lineage: Eukaryota; Viridiplantae; Streptophyta; Magnoliopsida; Malpighiales; Euphorbiaceae.
CGCAUACCAUGAAUCAUGCUGCAAAUUUGAUUACAAUAAGAACUAAUUUUCUUUUAAAAGAAAGACAUAAUUAACAUGUCAACAAGUAUGGUCCUGAUAAAUAAAGCAACCACCCAAGUUUCAAAAAUUUAUGAUACCACUCAUAUUACUAGAGAAAACAGAGCUUUAUGAAGAGUAACAGAUCAAGAAUCAAAUAAUUUGCUGAAACACUUCAUUAUAGUUUAUACCCAUGGUAUACGUGGCCUACAGAUUUACUGUGCAACAGUGACGGGUGUACUACCACAAAUGGGGGAUGCAUUUCUGCAAAUGGAAAGUCAACUGCUGUGCAGUGUAGGAGAAUCAAGUAGUUGACUAACUGUGCAUUUGGCUAAGGAAUAUAAGACGUCCAUUCCACAAAAAAUAGUAUAUAAUAGACAUUGGGACAAUUAUGCGGGAGAAUAAAAGAAAAACAGAAGUAGAAUAUUCAUAUUCUCCCUCUAAAUUUUUCCAAAAGAUCAAUGCAGCAAAUUCUAUUAAUCUAGUACUACGAAUGUAGCAGAAUUUCACAUACCCAUCUCCAUCAAACCAGUGGUAU